RNAcentral lists this ribosomal RNA (482 nucleotides) under uncultured bacterium. Its description in RNAcentral is "partial 16S ribosomal RNA". It matches the Rfam family "Bacterial small subunit ribosomal RNA", at positions 30 to 507 of the family's 1533-position model. The record is from RNAcentral.
AUUGAACGCUGGCGGCAUGCCUUACACAUGCAAGUCGAACGGUAACAGGUCUUCGGAUGCUGACGAGUGGCGAACGGGUGAGUAAUACAUCGGAACGUGCCCAGACGUGGGGGAUAACGAGGCGAAAGCUUUGCUAAUACCGCAUACGAUCUAAGGAUGAAAGCAGGGGACCGCAAGGCCUUGUGCGUUUGGAGCGGCCGAUGGCAGAUUAGGUAGUUGGUGGGAUAAAAGCUUACCAAGCCGACGAUCUGUAGCUGGUCUGAGAGGACGACCAGCCACACUGGGACUGAGACACGGCCCAGACUCCUACGGGAGGCAGCAGUGGGGAAUUUUGGACAAUGGGCGAAAGCCUGAUCCAGCAAUGCCGCGUGCAGGAUGAAGGCCUUCGGGUUGUAAACUGCUUUUGUACGGAACGAAAAGGCUCUGGCUAAUACCUGGGGCACAUGACGGUACCGUAAGAAUAAGCUCCGGCUAACUACGUG